UUGGAGGGCAAGUCUGGUGCCAGCAGCCGCGGUAAUUCCAGCUCCAAUAGCGUAUAUUAAAGUUGUUGCAGUUAAAAAGCUCGUAGUUGAACUUCGGGGUCUACCCAUUGGUCAGGCUUAAUUGUCUGCACUGGUGAGAUGGAUCUCUACCUUCUGAGGAACUUUCAUGCCAUUUAUUUGGUGUGAUGGGAAAUCAGGACUGUUACUUUGAAAAAAUUAGAGUGUUUAAAGCAGGCAUACGCUUGAAUACAUUAGCAUGGAAUAAUGAAAUAGGACGUUUGAUUUUAUUUUGUUGGUUUCUAGGAUCGACGUAAUGAUUAAUAGGGAUAGUUGGGGGCAUUAGUAUUCAAUUGUCAGAGGUGAAAUUCUUGGAUUUAUUGAAGACUAACUACUGCGAAAGCAUUUGCCAAGGAUGUUUUCAUUAAUCAAGAACGAAAGUUAGGGGAUCGAAGACGAUCAGAUACCGUCGUAGUCUUAACCAUAAACUAUGCCGACUAGGGAUCGGAUGAUGUUAUUUUUUAUGACUCAUUCGGCGCCUUACGGGAAACCAAAGUGUUUGGGUUC
Molecule: ribosomal RNA, 564 nt
Filed under: uncultured Glomeromycotina
Lineage: Eukaryota; Fungi; Glomeromycota
Description: SSU rRNA
Rfam family: Eukaryotic small subunit ribosomal RNA
Source: RNAcentral